Molecule: long non-coding RNA, 298 nt
Organism: Sinocyclocheilus grahami
Lineage: Eukaryota; Metazoa; Chordata; Actinopteri; Cypriniformes; Cyprinidae
Exons: 3
Source: RefSeq, a predicted model, not a curated record
GACCUCUCAGGGGUUGUAUUUAGGGUGUUAGUAAUUCUCUGUAGUUAUUGUGAUGAUGUACAGCCUUUUAUACAGUCUGGUAUAAAACACAAAAAAUAACCCAAAUAUGAUUUCUUUUUUAAUGCAACAUCUCACAGUGGCUGAGUCCAAAACCUCAGUUAGCUGCCUAAUCAGUCUAAAACUUCAUAGGCAUAAUGAAACUGCUUUCAGACACAAGAUUAUUUAAUGCUUUUUUUCUUUUUCGAAUAAGUCUUAUGAUCACCAACACCAAGGCUACAUUUAUUUGAUAAAAUACAGC